CGCUGGCGGCGUGCUUAACACAUGCAAGUCGAACGGGAUCCAUCGGGCUUUGCUUGGUGUUGAGAGUGGCGAACGGGUGAGUAAUGCGUGACCGACCUGCCCCAUACACCGGAAUAGCUCCUGGAAACGGGUGGUAAUGCCGGAUGUUCCAGUUGAUCGCAUGGUCUUCUGGGAAAGCUUUCGCGGUAUGGGAUGGGGUCGCGUCCUAUCAGCUUGACGGCGGGGUAACGGCCCACCGUGGCUUCGACGGGUAGCCGGCCUGAGAGGGCGACCGGCCACAUUGGGACUGAGAUACGGCCCAGACUCCUACGGGAGGCAGCAGUGGGGAAUAUUGCACAAUGGGCGCAAGCCUGAUGCAGCGACGCCGCGUGAGGGAUGGAGGCCUUCGGGUUGUAAACCUCUUUUAUCGGGGAGCAAGCGUGAGUGAGUGUACCUUUCGAAUAAGCACCGGCUAACUACGUGCCAGCAGCCGCGG
RNAcentral lists this ribosomal RNA (475 nucleotides) under Bifidobacterium longum subsp. infantis. Its description in RNAcentral is "bacterial SSU rRNA". It matches the Rfam family "Bacterial small subunit ribosomal RNA", at positions 34 to 520 of the family's 1533-position model. The record is from RNAcentral. Lineage: Bacteria; Bacillati; Actinomycetota; Actinomycetes; Bifidobacteriales; Bifidobacteriaceae.